RNAcentral lists this small nuclear RNA (197 nucleotides) under Sorghum bicolor (sorghum). RNAcentral describes it as "snRNA U2". It matches the Rfam family "U2 spliceosomal RNA". From Rfam's summary of the family: U2 is a small nuclear RNA (snRNA) component of the spliceosome (involved in pre-mRNA splicing). Complementary binding between U2 snRNA (in an area lying towards the 5' end but 3' to hairpin I) and the branchpoint sequence (BPS) of the intron results the bulging out of an unpaired adenosine, on the BPS, which initiates a nucleophilic attack at the intronic 5' splice site, thus starting the first of two transesterification reactions that mediate splicing. Lineage: Eukaryota; Viridiplantae; Streptophyta; Magnoliopsida; Poales; Poaceae. The record is from Rfam by way of RNAcentral.
AUACCUUUCUCGGCCUUUUGGCUAAGAUCAAGUGUAGUAUCUGUUCUUAUCAGUUUAAUAUCUGAUAUGUGAGACAUUGUCUUACAAUGAUAUUAAAUUUAUUUUUUGUGGGGGAGAAUCCAUUAUAGUAGCUUGCUACUAGGAUUCUCAAGUGUCGCUUAGUCGUUGCACUAUUGGCAAGGCCUGGCACACCCCAA